UUAUAAGCCGGGGUCGGGGCUUAAAACUACCGGACGAGGCUGCGGUGCGCUGGCAGCAGCUAAGCUAACUAGUUGGUUACCCUGAGGCUCGUGGCUCAGUAGGCGGCAUGGCUGGAUAUUCACCUAGACUACCAGGGGGCUCGAUCGCGACAGUCCAACAACUUCUGAAGAAUCGUCGUCCAAUAAACAAACAAGCGACCGCAAGCCCACAGCUAUCAUAUGUAUCGACAGCAUUAACAAUACCCCCCAGUCAAGAACCUGCCCAGUCCAAAAUGGCGUAUGAAAAAGAGCGGAAGUGACAUAUGCGUUUGAUUAGCAUAAGAAAGUCAUUGUGCCCACAGAGAGACCACUUGAUUAAGGGAAACGUCGUUUUAGGAGUUUUAUACUACAUAAACUUGGUAUUUACCUGACCCGCGAAGGUACAACGAUAUCCUUAAAUUCAGAUUCCGCCCGUUUGUCAAAUAAAGGGAGACAGCAGCAGUUUUAGGGAGAGGGGAAACCGAACUGCACCCUCCGAUGUCCAAUAGGGGGCGUAUUGGUCGUGAGUCCGAUGUGGUGAAUCAAUAUGAAAAAACUGGCGCGCAUGCGUUUUGGGUCUCUAUGCUGGCGCCUUCCCUAGGCGAAGAAUCGGAUGUGCACACUGCCUCAUAACAUCCCCGGGUGGCGCUAUGCUUAUUAUUGCGCUGUGCUCAACCGGACUACUUUCCAAGUAUCACGUGCUUUCUUCAUAUCCCGGGUUUCAGCCGUGGGUCAAGUGCAAGGCCAUUGAAUUGGGCGUGCUGAGAAAAUGUCCAGCGGUUCCAUCACCUCCAGCACAACGGUGCGCGGGCCCGUCAUGACCAGCCUGGUGACGACACGGUAGUCAAGGUGGAGGACACAGCGGCCGUUCACCUGGCAGAUAAACUGCCGCACCUGAGAAAGGCCAGCAACAUCGGCGUUUAGGACCCCUGUCGCUUCCUUAAACCACCUCUCUGUAUAGAAUACUCCCUCCUAUCACUACAGGUUUGCCAAGCCACCAAGGGAAGUGGAAUGAGCUCUCACUGCUCAUAAAGCCUUUGGCCACGCAUGAAGACCUUCAUCUCCAUGUUGAAGGGGAAGGUUCCGUCGUCCUUCCGGAAUCGGUACAGCAGUUUGGCAUCCUUAAACGUCGAUUGCUUGUCACAAACUAGGAGGGAGAAGCAUGACAAUGAUGGAUAAUAUGUCGGAAGGGCCCCCAGAGACAGGGGAACACACCUGGAACCUUCAGCUACAUUACUAUAAUUUUUCUUUCUCUGAUUUAGUCUCAGUUGGUGACAGAAAGCUUCAAUGAACUUCAGCAUUCAUGCUCCAGUUUGCUUCAUGCUUUGUCAUUGUCCUUUACUCUGUUUUGCACUGUGGAGUGCUGGAGGUCAAUUUAUAUACAAAACUGAUGUUUAAGAAGAUGUUUUUGUUGGCAUUUUGGGAAUUGUGACAUGUGAGAUGUAGGUUAUAGUGUGCAGUGUUCGGGAAGUUACUCACGAAAGUAAUCCCUUACUGACAAGGUGGAAUGUUCAGAUCCAGAAUGUAUAAACCCAAACCAAGGUUUUGUUUCAACCAACCAGCUGAGUACUCUGUGACUGUGGCUCUUUGUAUAAUAAAAUGACUCAGCAAUACUAAUGCAAUGAAUCAUUUAAAUCUACUGACUUCUUUCCUGCACAAUGGGAGGAA
Molecule: long non-coding RNA, 1686 nt
Organism: Brienomyrus brachyistius
Lineage: Eukaryota; Metazoa; Chordata; Actinopteri; Osteoglossiformes; Mormyridae
Exons: 4
Source: RefSeq, a predicted model, not a curated record